CACCUUGUGCAGUAACAAUGGUUCUUCAAGAUGUGUCCCGCUUGCAUCCCUGUGCUGCUGCUCAGAGAACUUUGGUAGCAGUAUUCCUUCGGCCCGCACAUGUGCUGUCCGCCCCUUGUGUUCUGCCACAAGGCUAACCAGCGCUGCGCAGGCAAACCCCCUUAGUUUCUUCUCUACCACAGAGUCCUUGACAAGAACGCCGAAGCAGAGGGGAGGAGGGUGGGUCAUGGAGCACCCAUACAGACACAUAUCUUGAAGAAUCGUCGUUACUGCACAAGGUGAGUAACCUCCUCUACUUCAAGUAGUGUCCCUAUGGGUGCUCCACUGUAGUUGACUCCCGAGCAGUAUCCCUAAUGGGAGGCUGAGGCUUCGGAGUAGAGUCAGUUAUGGAUGACAAUACUGCGGAAUCGAAGAUAGUGUCGGAAGCAGUUCCCGGUAAUUGCAUAGUAUUCUGCGAAGAUAUGUGCAGAUGCCCAGGUUGCUGCUCUGCAGAUUUCAGAGAUAACUACAUUCUUGAGGAAGGUGACAGAAGAGGAAACUGACUUCAUGGAUCAUGCGCAUAUUCUGGAUGGAGAUCUUUUGAUAAUAGAGGGAACUGGAGAAAGGUGUAUACAAGGUCCUUGUCCCAUAAAAGGAGAGCAUCCCCUAAGGAGUGCUGUCCGAGGCCUGUUCUGGAGCAGUAGCAUGGACAUUUUUUGGUCAGGGAUUGGAGUGGUGACUCAGACCCCCCUGCCCUUGUGAACAGAAGAGAGGGCACUUCCUGUUCUCAAAGGUGGUGAAAAGAUGGAUUUCUGGCAGUCCCCAUUUCUGGAAUAUGCUUUGGAGAACCUGAGUGUCUAGCUCCCUUUCACAGACUGUGGAAGAAGUGUCUGCUGAGGGCAUCAGCUCUGGCGUUCUGGAUGCCUGAGAGGGACUUCUUUAUGUGCAAGGACACCAUCACCAGACUGUCCAAGGUGUCGCUGCUCGGAGAGUAUGUUGUUCUGAGCCAACCUGAAAGCAGUGAAGGUGUAGACUUGUGUGACUGGCCACAAAGGUGCAAGCUGCCAUACUGGAGAUAGUUGAAGACAGUUCCUUACUGUGGUCUGAGGGCUUCCCUGAAUUGUCCCUACCAGACCUGACAAGGUCACAAAUCUGUGCAAAGCUGUAGGUCCAACUCCUGGAACAGAGCAAGGCCUGUCUGGGUGGAAGAUAGCACUGCCUCGAAGGAGCAUUUCUUGAGUCAUCGAGGUACAGGAAGACCAGGAUUGCUUCCUGCUGAACGUGCGUAAAUGCCCAGGGAACGUAGGAUAGCCCCGGAGUCCUUCAACGUGUGAAGGGAAUUGUUCAAGGUCUCUGAGAAAAGCGUAUGACCAUCAAAGGGGAGGUCCUCUACUGCGUUCUGAACUUCUCUCGGAAACCCCCAAAGUUGGAACCAUGACGUCCUGUGUAUAACUACCACCAUGGAGAUGGAUCUGGUAGCAGGAUCCACAGCAUCUAGGGACACUUGGAGAGUUGUACUGGCGAAUAGCUGAUUCGCUGCGACUAUGGAAUUGAAUUGCUCCCUGCAGUCACACGGCAGCUGUUCAAUACAGGCCGUGGACUUGUUGUAAUUAGUAAAGUUGUAUUUGGCCAUGACCACCUGAUAGUUUGUGAUCUGGAACUGAAGGGUUGCAGAUGAGUAUAACUUUCGCCCAGAGAGAUCCAGUCACUUUUGGUCCUUGUCAUAGGGGGUAGAUCUUGAAAAGUGCUGCCUAUUGCUGCAUCCACCACUAAGGAGUUAGGUGGGGGACGGGAAAA
This is a long non-coding RNA of Chelonia mydas (Green sea turtle), 1776 nucleotides long. RefSeq lists it as uncharacterized. The transcript has 6 exons. Lineage: Eukaryota; Metazoa; Chordata; Testudines; Cheloniidae. The record is from RefSeq and is a predicted model, not a curated record.